RNAcentral lists this ribosomal RNA (440 nucleotides) under uncultured bacterium. RNAcentral's name for it is "partial 16S ribosomal RNA". It matches the Rfam family "Bacterial small subunit ribosomal RNA", at positions 338 to 795 of the family's 1533-position model. The record is from RNAcentral.
CCUACGGGAGGCAGCAGUGGGGAAUAUUGCACAAUGGGGGAACCCCUGAUGCAGCGACGCCGCGUGAGUGAAGAAGUAUUUCGGUAUGUAAAGCUCUAUCAGCAGGGAAGAAAAUGACGGUACCUGAUUAAGAAGCCCCGGCUAACUACGUGCCAGCAGCCGCGGUAAUACGUAGGGGGCAAGCGUUAUCCGGAUUUACGGGGUGUAAAGGGAGCGGAGACGGCAGCACAAGUCUGGAGUGAAAUGCCCGGGCUUAACCCCGGAACUGCUUUGGACACUGGGCAGCUAGAGUGCAGGAGAGGUAAGUGGAAUUCCUAUUGUAGCGGUGAAAUGCGUAGAUAUUAGGAGGAACACCAGUGGCGAAGGCGGCUUACUGGACUGUAACUGACGUUGAGGCUCGAAAGCGUGGGGAGCAAACAGGAUUAGAUACCCCAGUAGUC